UUAGAAGUUAUGGUUUCCAUUUUUCUAUACCCAUAUUUAUUUAAUUUACCUCUCUGCCAUCUUGAAUCACUUUUUAUUUUAACUCAUUUCCAUUAUCAUCUUAAGGCCAUUUUUUGUUUUGAUUGUUCCUUCAAGAAAAAUGUUUUGUGGAACCUAUUAAAUCCAUUGAUGCCGGCUUGGCAACUUAGUAUUCGAUCAUGUUGGUCUACCAUACCAAUUUUAGCAUGGUAUGUUGUUGCGGCC
This 243-nucleotide long non-coding RNA is filed under the name Elaeis guineensis (African oil palm). Its description in RNAcentral is "long non-coding RNA (EGUI_LNC011976)". Lineage: Eukaryota; Viridiplantae; Streptophyta; Magnoliopsida; Arecales; Arecaceae. The record is from RNAcentral.